AGCUCCAAUAGCGUAUAUUAAAGCUGUUGCAGUUAAAAAGCUCGUAGUUGGAUCUUGGGCCUAGGCUGGCGGUCCGCCGAAAGGCGAGUCACUGCCUGUCCUGGUCUCUCCUUCGGUGCUCCCCCGGUGCUCUUAGCUGAGUGCCGGGGGUGGCCGGAACGUUUACUUUGAAAAAAUUAGAGUGUUCAAAGCAGGCCCCGACGCCUGAAUAGUCCAGCAUGGAAUAAUGGAAUAGGACCUCGGUUCUAUUGCGUUGGUUUUCGGAACGCGAGGUAAUGAUUAAGAGGGACUGACGGGGGCAUCCGUAUUGCGGCGUUAGAGGUGAAAUUCUUAGAUCGUCGCAAGACGAACAACUGCGAAAGCAUUUGCCAAGAAUGUUUUCA
This 383-nucleotide ribosomal RNA is filed under the name marine Metazoa environmental sample. RNAcentral's name for it is "SSU rRNA". It matches the Rfam family "Eukaryotic small subunit ribosomal RNA", at positions 587 to 972 of the family's 1831-position model. The record is from RNAcentral. Lineage: Eukaryota; Metazoa.